This is a long non-coding RNA of Danio aesculapii, 1421 nucleotides long. RefSeq lists it as uncharacterized. The record is from RefSeq and is a predicted model, not a curated record. The transcript is spliced from 3 exons. Lineage: Eukaryota; Metazoa; Chordata; Actinopteri; Cypriniformes; Danionidae.
AACAUAUAACACUUCACGCAAGAGGUGCCACAGCAAUAAUUGCAAAUAGAAAUUAUCUAAGUUACAGCUGAGAAGGGAGAAAAGCUCCAAAAUAAAAGAUAAAGAAAUCAGACCUGGCCCAGGACAGUUCAUAAGUGAACUGUAAUAUAUUAUUCAAGGAUCUGUCUUCACGCUGGGGCUUGUCAGCAGCUCAUAAAUCUAUUGUGGCAUCUUUAUAAAUGAAGCCGCAAGUUUUGGCAGUCACUGCUGUUUCUUUUAUUAGCCUAAAGGACUGAGUCAAGGCUUAUUCGACAUUAGAGGUACAUAAUGUGCAAGUUUGCAGAACACAACAGGUGCCAAAUCCUGUAACCAAGCCAUUCUGGUUAUGAUCCAGAAGAAGCUGUGUUCCAGUCUUCAGUCGAGUGACCCAGAAACUAAGCGUAAUGUGAGAUCUCACUCCUGCCGUCUCACCAGACUCGUCAAACAAGGGUUUCCUCACCGUCUGAUGAACUCCUUUGACACAUCACUGAAGCGACCCAGAGGAUCUGCAGAUUCACAUUUUGACCCUUAGAAAAUAGUGGAUGUUCUACUAAUUUAAGCCCUUCAUAACCUAUUGAUCUACAGCUUUGUUUUAGAUUAUACUGUGCAUGAAUGCCUGUAAAUGUGUACAUUAGAAAGCAGAAUAUAAAGGAAAUGUUACAAGUUCAUGAAGAUGAAAUAGACAUCAAUAGUUCUCUUUUAGUCCCAGGAUGCUACCUGAACUCAACCGAGUGAGCUGACAAAAGCUGUGAUCUGGACAAAGGGUGAGACAAUGUCCACGUUGUUUAACAUGUUUGGGAUUACUUCUUUAUUUCCAUUCUUCCCUUUCUAAUUUGGGAAAUCUAUGAUUAUUAAUAGUUUAUAAAAAUUGGCUGUAUGUAAGUUUUGACUCUACCAUAAAACCAUACUACAGGGUGGGCCAUUUAAAUGGGUACACCUUAAUAAACAUAUUGGGAAUUUCACAAAAAAAAAAAAAUGGUGUCUUGGUUUUAACAUAACUUUAUUCUUUCAUGAGUUAUUUACAUGCCCCUCACAUAUACUAAUGUGCCACAAACAAGACGUUAAUAUCACCAACCAUUCCCAUUUUAUUAAGGUGUAUCCAUAUAAAUGGCCCACCCUGUCUAUUAUGUUUGAAGAUAUAUAAGAAACAUGCUAAGUGAACACUUGUUUAUCUGAAAAACAAUACUAAAAUCAGUUAUUCUACUUUGAAAAUGUGUAUUCUGUGUCAGAAUGUCUGUCUUUGUUUUGUCUCUAUAACCCACCCACGGAUAGUUUAACCAAUUAUAUUUCAUCACUCUGGGUUGCCUUGAUGGAAAAUACACUGUAUUUCAUUUUAAACUUGAAAGUGCAUCAAUGUUUUGAAGUGCGGCCUUCAGUGGACAGUAGGAGCCUCCGAAAUGAGA